RNAcentral lists this ribosomal RNA (406 nucleotides) under uncultured bacterium. RNAcentral's name for it is "partial 16S ribosomal RNA". It matches the Rfam family "Bacterial small subunit ribosomal RNA", at positions 30 to 526 of the family's 1533-position model. The record is from RNAcentral.
AUUGAACGCUGGCGGCAGGCCUAACACAUGCAAGUCGAACGAGUGGCGGACGGGUGAGUAAUGUCUGGGAAACUGCCUGACGGAGCCGGCUAACUACUGGAAAACGUAGCUACUACCGCUUACCAUCGGUUGUGCCCACCUGGGAUUAGCUAGGAGGUGGGGUAAAGGCUCACCUAGGCGACGAUCCCCAGCUGGUCUGAGAGGAGGACCGGCCACACUGGAACUGAGACACGGUCCAGACUCCUACGGGAGGCAGCAGUAGGGAAUAUUGCACAAUGGGCGCAAGCCUGAUGCAGCCAUGCCGCGUGUAUGAAGAAGGCCUUCGGAUUGUAAAGUACUGUCAUCGGGGAGGCGUUACCCACAGAGGAAGCACCGGCUAACUCCGUGCCAGCAGCCGCGGUAAUAC